Molecule: long non-coding RNA, 779 nt
Organism: Suricata suricatta (meerkat)
Lineage: Eukaryota; Metazoa; Chordata; Mammalia; Carnivora; Herpestidae
Exons: 3
Source: RefSeq, a predicted model, not a curated record
GAGAGAAGGAGAGAGAGAAUCCCAAGGGGCUUGAUCUCAUGACUGUGACAUCAUGACCUGAGCCGAAAUCAAGAGAUGGUCGCAGAACUGACGGAGUGGCCCAGGAGCCCCCUGGGACAAUGUUGAACCAGAGAUGUUUGGUGACAAACGAGACAGACACAGGCUGCCCGGUGUCCUCUCUCUUCUCACGUGGAAAUUGCCUGGGAAUCUAGUGAGCUGUUGGCUCUGAAGGUAGUUGGCUGUCCUGAGUUUUCAAGUCCCUUGGUAGGAUUCUGGGGAGUUGGCCGGUUGGCUCCAGACAUGAGCUCAUCUGAGCAUGCGAACCGCCCCUGGGGACCUGCAGGAAUGUGAUGACAUUGGCCCUUGUCCCCUGGCUGGCCUGCUUUGUCUCAUGGGAUCCUCUGAAGACCCUCGAGGAAGGAGACGCCCCCGGGCAGAUGAGGAGGCUGAGCCUUGUGGCCACAGUCAUCAAUUCCCGAGGUCACACGGGAGUGCUCAGCGGCCUGGCUGGGUGUGGACGCCUGGGAUCUGGCGGGGCCGCUCAGCGCUGGGCGGCCACAGCGGGACAGAGGGGUGAGGCCCCUGCACUGCGUUCUCGCCCGCCGGACCUCCCUCCACAUUCGGGUUUGCGGGGUCCCGACUCCUAACUCCAGGCGUGUCCACGUGAGGGGGGACAUCACUAAACUCUGUAAACAUCAUGGGGAUUUUAAAGAACAUCCUUGCCCAGGCCUGGGGUUGCUGUGUUUGUGUGCUUUUGGCUGGCUGUGUUUUCCUGGAAA